This 111-nucleotide transfer RNA is filed under the name Colletotrichum gloeosporioides Cg-14. It matches the Rfam family "tRNA". Rfam says of the family: Transfer RNA (tRNA) molecules are approximately 80 nucleotides in length. Their secondary structure includes four short double-helical elements and three loops (D, anti-codon, and T loops). Further hydrogen bonds mediate the characteristic L-shaped molecular structure. tRNAs have two regions of fundamental functional importance: the anti-codon, which is responsible for specific mRNA codon recognition, and the 3' end, to which the tRNAs corresponding amino acid is attached (by aminoacyl-tRNA synthetases). tRNAs cope with the degeneracy of the genetic code in two manners: having more than one tRNA (with a specific anti-codon) for a particular amino acid; and 'wobble' base-pairing, i.e. permitting non-standard base-pairing at the 3rd anti-codon position. Lineage: Eukaryota; Fungi; Ascomycota; Sordariomycetes; Glomerellales; Glomerellaceae. The record is from Rfam by way of RNAcentral.
GGCAACUUGGCCGAGCGGUCUAAGGCGCCAGACUCAAGCGACGAGCUUAUCCUUCCAAAGGAUCGUAUUCUGGUAUCGAAAGAUGCGUGAGUUCGAAUCUCACAGUUGUCA